This 497-nucleotide ribosomal RNA is filed under the name uncultured bacterium. RNAcentral describes it as "partial 16S ribosomal RNA". It matches the Rfam family "Bacterial small subunit ribosomal RNA", at positions 28 to 507 of the family's 1533-position model. The record is from RNAcentral.
GACGAACGCUGGCGGCGUGCCUAAUACAUGCAAGUUGAGCGCUGAAGGUUGGUACUUGUACCAACUGGAUGAGCAGCGCACGGGUGAGUAACGCGUGGGGAAUCUGCCUUUGAGCGGGGGACAACAUUUGGAAACGAAUGCUAAUACCGCAUAAAAACUUUAAACACAAGUUUUAAGUUUGAAAGAUGCAAUUGCAUCACUCAAAGAUGAUCCCGCGUUGUAUUAGCUAGUUGGUGAGGUAAAGGCUCACCAAGGCGAUGAUACAUAGCCGACCUGAGAGGGUGAUCGGCCACAUUGGGACUGAGACACAGCCCAAACACCUACAGGAGGCAGCAGUAGGGAAUCUUCGGCAAUGGACGAAAGUCUGACCGAGCAACGCCGCGUGAGUGAAGAAGGUUAUCGGAUCGUAAAACUCUGUUGGUAGAGAAGAACGUUGGUGAGAGUGGAAAGCUCAUCAAGUGACGGUAACUACCCAGAAAGGGACGGCUAACUACGUG